GACGAACGCUGGCGGCGUGCUUUAGGCAUGCAAGUCGAACGCGAAAGCCCCUUCGGGGGUGAGUAGAGUGGCGAACGGGUGAGUAACACGUGGGUAACCUGCCCCUCGCAGGGGGAUAACCGGGGGAAACCCCGGCUAAUACCCCGUACGCUUGCUGGGGCGCAUGCUCCGGCAAGGAAAGGUAGCUUCGGCCCUCCGGCGAGGGAGGGGCCCGCGGCCCAUUAGCUAGUUGGUGGGGUAACGGCCCACCAAGGCGACGAUGGGUAGCUGGCCUGAGAGGGUGGUCAGCCACACUGGGACUGAGACACGGCCCAGACUCCUACGGGAGGCAGCAGCCAGGAAUCUUGCGCAAUGGGCGAAAGCCUGACGCAGCAACGCCGCGUGGGCGAUGAAGGCCUUCGGGUCGUAAAGCCCUGUUGUCGGGGACGAAGGGCGAAGGGUUAAGAGCCCCUAGCCUGACGGUACCCGACGAGGAAGCCCCGGCUAACUACGUG
Molecule: ribosomal RNA, 494 nt
Filed under: uncultured bacterium
Lineage: Bacteria
Description: partial 16S ribosomal RNA
Rfam family: Bacterial small subunit ribosomal RNA
Source: RNAcentral